Molecule: ribosomal RNA, 253 nt
Filed under: uncultured bacterium
Lineage: Bacteria
Description: partial 16S ribosomal RNA
Rfam family: Bacterial small subunit ribosomal RNA
Source: RNAcentral
UACGUAGGGUGCGAGCGUUGUCCGGAAUUAUUGGGCGUAAAGAGCUCGUAGGCGGUUUGUCACGUCUGCUGUGAAAUCCCGAGGCUCAACCUCGGGCCUGCAGUGGGUACGGGCAGACUGGAGUGCGGUAGGGGAGAAUGGAAUUCCUGGUGUAGCGGUGGAAUGCACAGAUAUCAGGAGGAACACCAAUAGCGAAGGCAGCUCGCUGGGACGGUAUUGACGCUAAGGCGCGAAAGCGUGGGGAGCAAACAGG